This 74-nucleotide small nucleolar RNA is filed under the name Medicago truncatula (barrel medic). RNAcentral's name for it is "Small nucleolar RNA R66". It matches the Rfam family "Small nucleolar RNA R66". From Rfam's summary of the family: snoR66 is a C/D box small nucleolar RNA, which acts as a methylation guide for 18S ribosomal RNA in plants. snoR66 has been alternatively named snoZ269 in rice. Lineage: Eukaryota; Viridiplantae; Streptophyta; Magnoliopsida; Fabales; Fabaceae. The record is from Rfam by way of RNAcentral.
UCCUAUGAUGGCAUGAAAUCUUUGAGACCUGAAUCUUUAAUUUGAUGUCAGCUAUAAGCAUACUCACUGAGGAU